This 615-nucleotide ribosomal RNA is filed under the name Hydropunctaria alaskana. RNAcentral describes it as "SSU rRNA". It matches the Rfam family "Bacterial small subunit ribosomal RNA", at positions 506 to 1217 of the family's 1533-position model. Lineage: Eukaryota; Fungi; Ascomycota; Eurotiomycetes; Verrucariales; Verrucariaceae. The record is from RNAcentral.
UGCCAGCAGUCGCGGUAAUACGCAGAAGACAAGCGUUAUUCAUCUUUAAUCGGUUUAAAGGGUACCUAGACGGAAAAUCAAGCCAAGUAGGGACUAAUUUUCUAGAGUUUUAUGGGAGAAAGUCGAAUAUCUGGAGUAGGGAUAGAAUAUUUUAAUACCAGAGAGACGGGCAACGGCGUAGGCAACUUUCUAUGUAAAAACUGACGUUGAGGGACGAAGCCCUGGGUAGCGAUAAGGAUUAGAUACCCCAGUAGUCCAGGGAGACAAUGAUGAAUGCCAUAGGCUAGAUAAAUUAGUCUAUAAAUGAAAGUGCAAGCAUUCCACCUCAAGACUAAAGCGGCAACGCCCAAAUUGAAAUCAUUAGACCGUUUCUGAAACCAGUAGUGAAGUAUGUUAUUUAAUUCGAUGAUCCUCGAAUAACCUUACCACGUUUUGAAUACUAUUCAAUUAAUACAAGUGUUGCACGGCUGUUUUUAGUUAAUGUCGUGAGACUUUGGUUAACUCCUUUAAUUAACGAAAACCCUUGUUUUAUUUAGAAUAAAACAGUUCUCCACUAUAUUGGAUAAGAUAAUAGGGAUUAAGGCAAGUCAUCAUGGCCUUAAUAACGUGGGCUAU